RNAcentral lists this small RNA (56 nucleotides) under human gut metagenome. Its description in RNAcentral is "Streptococcus sRNA SpF59 (ldcC RNA)". It matches the Rfam family "Streptococcus sRNA SpF59 (ldcC RNA)". The record is from RNAcentral.
GACCGCUGUGCCAUAAGCGCAGCCAAGGCCACACGGACAGCCGGGUCGAAUGCCGA